Molecule: ribosomal RNA, 253 nt
Filed under: uncultured bacterium
Lineage: Bacteria
Description: partial 16S ribosomal RNA
Rfam family: Bacterial small subunit ribosomal RNA
Source: RNAcentral
UACGAAGGGGGCUAGCGUUGCUCGGAAUCACUGGGCGUAAAGGGUGCGUAGGCGGGUUUUUAAGUCAGGGGUGAAAUCCUGGAGCUCAACUCCAGAACUGCCUUUGAUACUGAAGAUCUUGAGUCCGGGAGAGGUGAGUGGAAUUUACGGUGUAGCGGUGAAAUGCGUAGAUAUCGUAAGGAAGACCAGUGGCGAAGGCGGGUCUCUGGACGGUUCCUGACGCUGAGGCACGAAGGUCAGGGGAGCAAACGGG